This 356-nucleotide ribosomal RNA is filed under the name Salmonella enterica. RNAcentral's name for it is "partial 23S ribosomal RNA". It matches the Rfam family "Bacterial large subunit ribosomal RNA", at positions 1790 to 2145 of the family's 2925-position model. Lineage: Bacteria; Pseudomonadati; Pseudomonadota; Gammaproteobacteria; Enterobacterales; Enterobacteriaceae. The record is from RNAcentral.
GCCCAGGCGACUGUUUAGCAAAAACACAGGUCUCUGCAAAACCGUAAGGUGACGUAUAGGGGCUGACGCCUGCCCGGUGCUGGAAGGUUAAGAGGAGUGCUUAGCUUCGGCGAAGGUACGAAUUGAAGCCCCAGUAAACGGCGGCCGUAACUAUAACGGUCCUAAGGUAGCGAAAUUCCUUGUCGGGUAAGUUCCGACCCGCACGAAAGGCGCAACGAUCUGGGCACUGUCUCAACGAGAGACUCGGUGAAAUUAUAGUACCUGUGAAGAUGCAGGUUACCCGCGACAGGACGGAAAGACCCCGUGGAGCUUUACUGCAACCUGAUAUGGAAUGUUUGUACCGCUUGUACAGGAUA